GACGAACGCUGGCGGCGUGCUUAACACAUGCAAGUCGAACGGAAAGGCCCUGCUUUUGUGGGGUGCUCGAGUGGCGAACGGGUGAGUAACACGUGAGUAACCUGCCCUUGACCUUGAGAUAACUUCAGGAAACUGGGGCUAAUACCGGAUAGGAGCUCCUGCUGCAUGGUGGGGGUUGGAAAGUUUCGGCGGUUGGGGAUGGACUCGCGGCUUAUCAGCUUGUUGGUGGGGUAGUGGCUUACCAAGGCUUUGACGGGUAGCCGGCCUGAGAGGGUGACCGGCCACAUUGGGACUGAGAUACGGCCCAGACUCCUACGGGAGGCAGCAGUGGGGAAUAUUGCACAAUGGGCGGAAGCCUGAUGCAGCAACGCCGCGUGCGGGAUGACGGCCUUCGGGUUGUAAACCGCUUUCGCCUGUGACGAAGCGUGAGUGACGGUAAUGGGUAAAGAAGCACCGGCUAACUACGUG
This 468-nucleotide ribosomal RNA is filed under the name uncultured bacterium. RNAcentral describes it as "partial 16S ribosomal RNA". It matches the Rfam family "Bacterial small subunit ribosomal RNA", at positions 28 to 507 of the family's 1533-position model. The record is from RNAcentral.